This 387-nucleotide unclassified non-coding RNA is filed under the name soil metagenome. RNAcentral's name for it is "partial contains 5.8S ribosomal RNA, internal transcribed spacer 2, and large subunit ribosomal RNA". The stretch from base 1 to 120 matches the Rfam family "5.8S ribosomal RNA", at positions 35 to 154 of the family's 154-position model. The record is from RNAcentral.
GAUGAAGAACGCAGCGAAAUGCGAUAAGUAAUGUGAAUUGCAGAAUUCAGUGAAUCAUCGAAUCUUUGAACGCACCUUGCGCUCCUUGGUAUUCCGAGGAGCAUGCCUGUUUGAGUGUCAUGAAAUUCUCAACCUUUUCAGCUUUCUUUGUUGAUCAGGCUUGGAUGUGGGAGUAUGCGGGCUUCUCAGAAGUCGGCUCUCCUGAAAUGCAUUAGCGGGACCUUUGUUGCCUGGCUUUGGUGUGAUAAUUAUCUACGCCAUUGUAGUCAAGCAGCUUAAAAUGAGGUUUCAGCUUCUAACCGUCUCCCCUGAGACAACUUUUUGACAAUUUGACCUCAAAUCAGGUAGGACUACCCGAUGAACUUAAGCAUAUCAAUAAGCGGAGGA